AAAACACACUCAUCAUGAAUCUAUAUAUAGUGACAUCACGUCCUACUGCAUCGAGAUCAGGACUCCUCCUCAAACAGACUCAUCAGGAAUCUAUAUAUAGUGACAUUUUGAAACAAACAAGGUGAGAAAGGAGAACUAAACAGACACCGGGUUGACAAAACUUUAAGAACACCUGUUCUCUUUCCACGACAGACUGACCAGGUGAAAGCGGUGAUCCAUUAUUGAUGUCACUUGUUAAAUCCACUUCAAAAUCAGUGUAGAUGAAGGGGAGGAGACAUGUAGAUGAAGGGGAGGAGACAUGUAGAUGAAGGGGAGGAGACGGGUUAAAGAAGGAUUUAGAAGCUUUUCGACAGUUGAGACAUGGAUUGUGUGUGGCUGUAAGAGCCUUCGAACGGGGUGUGGUAGUAGGUGACAGGCGCACUGGUUUGUGUCAAGAACUGCAAUGCUGCUGGGGUUCUCACACUCAACAGUUUCCCGCGUGUAUCAAGAAUGGUCCACCACCCAAAGGACAUCCAGCCACCUUGACACAACUGUGGGAAGCAUUGGAGUCAACAGGGACCAGCAUGCCUGUGGAUCGCUUUCGACACCUUGUAGAGUCAACAUGGACCAGCAUCCCUGUGGAACGCUUGACACCUUGUAGAGUCCAUGUCCCGACGAAUUGAGUCUGUUCUGAGGGCAACUCAAUAUUAGGGAAGGUGUUCUUAAUGUUUUGUUCACUCAGUGUAAAUUCUCUUCUCAACAUUACACUGUACACUCCAGGUCGACUGUUAAGCUCUUAGUAUUCCUUAUCUACCUGUUAAAUAACCAUAUUGAAGUAAUCAUUAAUUCAUUAAUGACUUCCCCCAUCAGCGGGGUUCAGUCUAGUCCAGAAGAACAGGUUGUUAGAUUGUUAGAUUGAGUUCCACAUCAGCAGGGUCCAGUCUCGUCCAGAAGAACAGGUUGAGUUCCACAUCAGCAGGGUCCAGUCUAGUCCAGAAGAACAGGUUGAGUUCCACAUCAGCAGGGUUCAGUCUAGUCCAGAAGAACAGUUUGUUAGAUUGAGUUCCACAUCAGCAGGGUCCAGUCUAGUCCAGAAGAACAGGUUGUUAGAUUGUUUGGCUUGUCUUCCUCUGUCAGAGCAGCUAGUAAAAGUCAAGUAGUAUUAAUUAUGAAACAUUUUCCCACCGAGAAGCUGUUCAACACAACGUUGACUCCAUAUGGACAACCUUAAAGUGACCGUGUAGUCUGUCUCUGAACCUCAACUUCACAGUUUGUUGCUAAAGUAGUGCAUCGUUUGGCUUCACCACAGCUGUCUGUUAGAGAGUCAGUGUUCAGGUGGAAACCCAGGUGGCUCCUGGUAAUUGGGAGUCAGAGAGUUCAGGUAGAAGCCCAGGUGGCUCCAGGUAAUUGGGAGUCAGAGAGUUCAGGUGGAAGCCCAGGUGGCUCCAGGUAAUUGGGAGUCAGAGAGUUCAGGUGGAAGCCCAGGUGGCUCCAGGUAAUUGGGAGUCAGAGAGUUCAGGUGGAAGCCCAGGUGGCUCCAGGUUACAUGGUUGGAAGCCCAGGUGUCUCCAGGCUACAUGGUUGGAAGCCCAGGUGUCUCCAGGUUACAUGGUAAUUCUCUUUAACAAUGUUAUUGCCAAUAGAAGAAGAAAAGUGACCCAUCCAUAUUUCCAGGAUGGGAAGGCACUUUGGUGACAAGUCUCUCCGUCUGAAAUUCCACCCUAUCCCCUCAUCAGGGAAUUAGGUGCCAUUUGGGACACACCCUGACAGGAAUAUGUAUUGAGCUGGUCUGUCAUCGUUGUGGUAGAUGGGUGUGUGUGUUUUAACUUCCUGGUCAGUCAUCGUUGUGGUAGAUGAGUGUGUGUGUUUUAACUUCCUGGUCAGUCAUCGUUGUGGUAGAUGAGUGUGUGUGUUUUAACUUCCUGGUCAGUCAUCGUUGUGACAGAUGAGUGUGUGUGUUUUAACUUCCUGGUCUUUGGGUUGUGCAUCUUAUCUACAAAUCGUCUCUGAAUGUAAAAACGGAGGUUUUAUCCAAGAAGGUUGUGUUUCCC
Molecule: long non-coding RNA, 2030 nt
Organism: Oncorhynchus tshawytscha (Chinook salmon)
Lineage: Eukaryota; Metazoa; Chordata; Actinopteri; Salmoniformes; Salmonidae
Source: Ensembl